UCUCAAAAUAAUCCACUUUUUAAUUUCUGUGACUGUUUUAAGUUCAGCAACUACGGCACAGUGUGUUUUGUUUGUGACAACAAUGUUGAGGGGCUUUUGAAUUCACUGCGGCUCUGAUUAACGGCCCUGACCUGCUUCCUCUCCAUGGCAACAGCCACUGAGCCUCAUGGCCGUCCAGUGUGUGAAAAUCAUGGAGAAAGGAUGAUUUCUGGGAAACAAAUUUGAAAUAUUUAAAACUGUUAGUCAUGGUAUAAAGCCUGCAGGGAUGUCUGUGAGAUCCCUGUGAUUCUAUGUUAAGUAACACCGAGGAGAGUUUUUCGGAAACUGGAAUACAAUGUGAACCAGAACUGUGAGGAAAAAAGAACCCAAGGUCAUGGAAUUUUGUCUCAUUCUCUAGUUCCGUAUGUGCAAAUAGAGUGAAAAGUAUGUUUUAUACACUUGAGUCUUCUUUUUGUAUUUUUAUUUAUGAACUGAUGUAGUGCCUCGAAGGACAUGUGCAUCAUGGCGUGCAUGGAAAAAGGUUGUCCAGUGCAGAUGCUGCAGCUCUGAGAAUGAUCAUAAAGAUUUGGACCAGCAGUUUUACACUCUUAAGAAGUCUUUCUUUGAAGAUUUUUUGAAGAUGUGACGAUCAAUUACUCUGAUGUGGCAUGAAUAUCUGUGGAACACAGAAAAUGCCAGCGACUGAUUACUACCUGAAGACAAAUACCUGGUGAUUACGACUUGAUUAUAUGACAUUUCCUGGCUUGAAUAGGGGAUAGCUACGCCAUGCCACGCCUCACUAACACUGUCCUCUUUGGUCGCAGGACUGAUCACUGCUAACCUGUGACAGUGCCUUAGGGGAUAACCUCAAGCAUCGGUACUAAGGACUUGAGAAGAAACUCUGUUUUCAAAGGCUUUAUGUGUUCAGCUCUCUGAACUUGGAAUCUGUGGUUUGUAUGUUAUGUGCUCUUGUCUGCACUUUGAGGUUUGAGUCUUGUUUUACUGUUUACUGAACCCUUUCAUCCACAUCGGAGCUGUGAUGACUAACUUUUCCUGUUGUUGUUUCUUCACAUCAGAAAUGUUGCAUUUCCCGACCCCACUGGAUACUCUGUGAUAAAGUUACAGGAAAUGCUUGUGUCUAUCACCUUCAUUAGCAUUCUCUAAUCUAAACAGGUCUGUUCAUCCAGGAUUCAGCAUUGAUCAGUUAACUUACAGGGAGGUUUCACUUAACGCGACCGUGCAGCUAGGUGACACUGAUUAGUGUUAAGAGGUAUAAAAGAAACUCAGACUAUUGUAAUGGCAAUUAACAUUAGGACUGGGAGAAUAAUGUGGAUUCUUGCAUAUGUGCACUAAAGCAAAGAGAGUAUUUAAAAGACAGCAGCAAGAUGAUAGGAUAAGAUAACAUUGCAGGUGUGUUGUGUACUGUUGGAAAGAUGUGACUGGCUGAUGUGAUCACAUCUUUUUUGUGUUGAAUCCACGUUCACUGAGAUGAAUAUUUCCUCUUAAAUCCAUGUUAAAAACGCAAUACAUACGACAUUUAGUUAAAUACAUACAAAAAAUAACUGAAAUUAACAACAGAAUGUGAGCAGAAACAGUUUUGAGGUUAUUUUGAAUAUGUUUACAUAUUGUGUUGCAGUCUUGUAGCCUGGAUUAUGUUAACUGGUUUCUGAAAGUUACAUCAAA
Molecule: long non-coding RNA, 1662 nt
Organism: Acanthopagrus latus (yellowfin seabream)
Lineage: Eukaryota; Metazoa; Chordata; Actinopteri; Spariformes; Sparidae
Exons: 5
Source: RefSeq, a predicted model, not a curated record